CGGGUGCGUAACGCGUAUGCAACCUACCUCUUACUGGGGAAUAGCCCGAAGAAAUUCGGAUUAAUGCCCCAUAUGCUCGUACGGCCUCAUGGUCGAGCGAGGAAAGCUCCGGCGGUAAGAGAUGGGCAUGCGGUACAUUAGCUAGUUGGUGAGGUAAUGGCUCACCAAGGCUACGAUGUAUAGGGGGUCUGAGAGGAUGAUCCCCCACACUGGUACUGAGACACGGACCAGACUCC
RNAcentral lists this ribosomal RNA (236 nucleotides) under uncultured bacterium. RNAcentral's name for it is "partial 16S ribosomal RNA". It matches the Rfam family "Bacterial small subunit ribosomal RNA", at positions 103 to 339 of the family's 1533-position model. The record is from RNAcentral.